UCCCUGGUGGCUCAGAGGUUAAAGCGUCUGCCUCCAACGCAGACGGGGAGACCCGGGUUCGAUCCCUGGGUCGGGAA
RNAcentral lists this transfer RNA (77 nucleotides) under Bos taurus (domestic cattle). It matches the Rfam family "tRNA". From Rfam's summary of the family: Transfer RNA (tRNA) molecules are approximately 80 nucleotides in length. Their secondary structure includes four short double-helical elements and three loops (D, anti-codon, and T loops). Further hydrogen bonds mediate the characteristic L-shaped molecular structure. tRNAs have two regions of fundamental functional importance: the anti-codon, which is responsible for specific mRNA codon recognition, and the 3' end, to which the tRNAs corresponding amino acid is attached (by aminoacyl-tRNA synthetases). tRNAs cope with the degeneracy of the genetic code in two manners: having more than one tRNA (with a specific anti-codon) for a particular amino acid; and 'wobble' base-pairing, i.e. permitting non-standard base-pairing at the 3rd anti-codon position. The record is from Rfam by way of RNAcentral. Lineage: Eukaryota; Metazoa; Chordata; Mammalia; Artiodactyla; Bovidae. RNAcentral also lists the same sequence under 1 other name.